UAAAACGUAGGAUCCGAGCGUUAUCCGAAUUCACUGGGCGUAAAGCGCGUGUAGGCGGUUCGGUAAGUUGGAUGUGAAAGCUCCCGGCUCAACUGGGAGAGGACGUUCAAAACUGUUGGACUAGAGGGCGGAAGAGGGAGGUGGAAUUCCCGGUGUAGUGGUGAAAUGCGUAGAUAUCGGGAGGAACACAGUGGCGAAGGCGGCCUCCUGGGCCGCACCUGACGCUCAGACGCGAAAGCUAGGGUAGCAAACGGGAUUAGAAACCCCGGUAGUCCUAGCCGUAAACGAUGUAGACUUGGUGUUGGUGGGGUAAAAGCCAUCAGUGCCGGAGCAAACGCGAUAAGUCUACCGCCUGGGGACUAC
Molecule: ribosomal RNA, 363 nt
Filed under: uncultured bacterium
Lineage: Bacteria
Description: bacterial SSU rRNA
Rfam family: Bacterial small subunit ribosomal RNA
Source: RNAcentral